AGAAAAGUAUUUAAAUAUAAAAAUAAAAUCUAAUUUGCAUUUAGAAAUUGGAAUCCCCUUUUCUG
Molecule: transfer RNA, 65 nt
Filed under: Ixodes australiensis
Lineage: Eukaryota; Metazoa; Arthropoda; Arachnida; Ixodida; Ixodidae
Description: tRNA-Ala
Source: RNAcentral